GAUGAACGCUAGCUACAGGCUUAACACAUGCAAGUCGAGGGGCAUCAGGAAGGAAGCUUGCUUUCUUCGCUGGCGACCGGCGCACGGGUGAGUAACACGUAUCCAACCUGCCUCAUACUCGGGGAUAGCCUUUCGAAAGAAAGAUUAAUACCCGAUGUUAUAGUCCUACCGCAUGAUGGGAUUAUUAAAGAAUUUCGGUAUGGGAUGGGGAUGCGUUCCAUUAGUUAGUUGGCGGGGUAACGGCCCACCAAGACAACGAUGGAUAGGGGUUCUGAGAGGAAGGUCCCCCACAUUGGAACUGAGACACGGUCCAA
RNAcentral lists this ribosomal RNA (314 nucleotides) under uncultured bacterium. RNAcentral's name for it is "bacterial SSU rRNA". It matches the Rfam family "Bacterial small subunit ribosomal RNA", at positions 28 to 334 of the family's 1533-position model. The record is from RNAcentral.